RNAcentral lists this ribosomal RNA (500 nucleotides) under uncultured fungus. Its description in RNAcentral is "eukaryotic LSU rRNA". It matches the Rfam family "Eukaryotic large subunit ribosomal RNA", at positions 71 to 610 of the family's 3401-position model. The record is from RNAcentral. Lineage: Eukaryota; Fungi.
GGGAUUGCCUCAGUAACGGCGAGUGAAGCGGCAACAGCUCAAAUUUGAAAUCUGGCCUAGCCCGAAUUGUAAUUUGCAGAGGAUGCUUUUGGUGAGGUACCUUCCGAGUUCCCUGGAACGGGACGCCAUAGAGGGUGAGAGCCCCGUACGGUUGGAUGCCGAGCCUCUGUAAAGCUCCUUCGACGAGUCGAGUAGUUUGGGAAUGCUGCUCUAAAUGGGAGGUAAAUUUCUUCUAAAGCUAAAUACCGGCCAGAGACCGAUAGCGCACAAGUAGAGUGAUCGAAAGAUGAAAAGCACUUUGAAAAGAGGGUUAAAUAGCACGUGAAAUUGUUGAAAGGGAAGCGUUUAUGACCAGACAUUACCCGGUAAGGAUUACCCUCCGGGUGAGGCCAACAUCGAUUUUCUCAGGGGGACAAAGGUUUAGGGAACGUAGCUCCUCGGAGUGUUAUAGCCCUUUUCGUAAUACCCUUGGGGGGAUCGAGGUACGCGCUCUGCAAGGA